RNAcentral lists this Y RNA (112 nucleotides) under Microcebus murinus (gray mouse lemur). Its description in RNAcentral is "Y RNA (ENSMICG00000045739.1)". It matches the Rfam family "Y RNA". From Rfam's summary of the family: Y RNAs are components of the Ro ribonucleoprotein particle (Ro RNP), in association with Ro60 and La proteins. The Y RNAs and Ro60 and La proteins are well conserved, but the function of the Ro RNP is not known. Lineage: Eukaryota; Metazoa; Chordata; Mammalia; Primates; Cheirogaleidae. The record is from Rfam by way of RNAcentral.
GGCUGGUCCAAAGGUAAUGAGUUAACUCACCUGAUUUUUCAGUCAGUUACAGAUUGAACUCCUUGUUCUACUGCUUCUCCCUCUUCUCACUACUGCACUAGACUAGUCUUAA